This 1668-nucleotide long non-coding RNA is filed under the name Mastacembelus armatus (zig-zag eel). RNAcentral's name for it is "lncRNA (ENSMAMG00000024610.1)". Lineage: Eukaryota; Metazoa; Chordata; Actinopteri; Synbranchiformes; Mastacembelidae. The record is from RNAcentral.
GUUUCACCGUAGUCGCGCAUUGACACGCCUCCUUCCCUGUGCUCUCCGCGUCCGGGAAAGGCAGCGACUUCAGGAAGCAACGUUUGAGACUCGGCCCAUUGACCGAGUUUUGGGGCGUCGACUUCUCUCCGCUCAGACCAAUCGGAGUUCACGGUGAAACUUUGUAAACAAGUCUUACACGCUGAGAUGAAGCUCGUCUUUUCUAUUUACUCCAAGAAAGACGCGACGGUGCUGCGGCCAAACGACUCAAAAGCAAAACAGCCAUCCAGAUGUUGAAAACAGACAAAACUCAGAAAGUAUUUGUGAGAACAAGAGGAAUAAGAUGAUGCAAAGCAGAAAGAAGCAGCACCAGAAUGCCUGCCAGCCUUUUGUGGCCUUACAUAAAACCUCAUGCUUGGAGCAGGUACUUUUUUGGCACACGUGGCUGAAAUGACCAAAGAAGAUCUGAAACCACUGGUGAGCAGUCCAAGCUUUCAAUGAAUGGGAACCUGUGGGAUGUUCUCAGGCCUUCAGAGGUGAUCUCAGCCAAACAGAGGAAACAUCUGCUCUACUGCUGUUCUAAAUGCUCCAGAUCUACACAAACACACACACGCAUACAUAUACACACACACACACACACCACAUACAGUCUUAGAGGUUGUGCCUGCCAGAGGAAGAGUGUUAUUACAAAAAGCACACAUGCCUUUAUACUUACAUACACAUUAACACACACACAGAUGCUGCCUGUCUUCCUCUCAUCCUCAUCCUGUCACAACCACAGUGCAGUUUGUCCUCCAGCUCACCAUCCCUGCAUUCAGGACCUGCACUAACAGCUGCUCUGGCAGCUAAAUCUGAGUCCCAUGUUCUGUUUGUCUUUAUAUUGGUCUGUUUGUUCUCGUGUUUCCCUCUAUCUUGACAAGAAGUCCUUAAUCAGCAGAAUUGAGCCAGUGUUUUUUAACAAUUGCUCAAACAGGUUACCAAAUAUGUUGUUAUGUUGUAGCAAAACCUAAUUAUCACAAUGAGAGUCCUUAAUUUCUGUUAUUAGCGAGUAUUUAAGUAUUAAAGUAUUCCGCUUUGCUGCAAAACUUGCAUAUACACGUUUUCAUCAGAGGAGAUGGUGUUUUUCUGUGUCUGCCUCAGUCUUGUGAUUUUUCCUGAGCAUGCUCAUGAUGUUUUAACUAUUUUGUACAAAAAGAGCUGAAAGAAAUGCAAGACAUUCUUUAAAGUAAAAAUAUGUUGGUUGUUGCAACGUGCCUAAACAAAAGGCAUUUGAGCUGUGUCACUCUAGAUAUCCACUUCUAUUUUUAAUGCUUAUAUACCAGUAAAUUCAACCUAUAUUUUUCAGUUGAAGUCCAUUUUUCUGUGCAAAUAACACUUCCAAAAUGCGGGUGACUAACAACUCAACGCAGUGCUCGAACACCUCCUAUGUAGACACUGAGUGAGCACUGGAGCUGCUGAUGCUGCUCUGCUAACAUUGUGCACAUGUUACACCUACUAUGUAGACACAAAGAAAGUAACUGUCUAAAUGGCCUAUAUAUGCACCCCCAUCGACAGGUUGAUUGUUCCUUACUGCUAUACAAUACUGUUCCAAAAUAAUUCAUUUGAGGCGUUACUGAUCUGACUGGGUAAUGUGAACAGUCAUCUCCUGUGUCAAAGUAACAUCCAUUCACUCUUCUCCCUAACAGAUUU